AUUGAACGCUGGCGGCAGGCCUAACACAUGCAAGUCGAACGAGUGGCGGACGGGUGAGUAAUAUAUGGGAAUCUGCCCUGUGGAGGGGGAUAACUACUGGAAACUGUCGCUAAUACCGCAUACCAUCGAAUGAGCCCAUGUUGGAUUAGCUAGUUGGUGGGGUAAAGGCACACCAAGGCGACGAUCCCUAACUGGUCUGAGAGGAUGAUCCGCCACACUGGAAGUGAGACACGGUCCCGACUCCUACGGGAGGCAGGAGUGGGGAAUUAUGGACAAAGGGCGAAAGCCUGAUCCAGCCAUACCGCGUGGGUGAAGGAGGCCUUCGGGUUGUAAAGGCCUUUUGUGGGGGAAGCGGUACCCACAGAAUAAGCACCGGCUAACUCCGUGCCAGCAGCCGCGGUAAUAC
RNAcentral lists this ribosomal RNA (406 nucleotides) under uncultured bacterium. RNAcentral describes it as "partial 16S ribosomal RNA". It matches the Rfam family "Bacterial small subunit ribosomal RNA", at positions 30 to 526 of the family's 1533-position model. The record is from RNAcentral.